Molecule: ribosomal RNA, 741 nt
Filed under: Ureibacillus thermosphaericus
Lineage: Bacteria; Bacillati; Bacillota; Bacilli; Caryophanales; Caryophanaceae
Description: bacterial SSU rRNA
Rfam family: Bacterial small subunit ribosomal RNA
Source: RNAcentral
AACAGAUUAGAUACCCUGGGUAGUCCUUUUCGUAAACGAUGAGUGGUAAGUGUUAAGGUGAGUUCCACCCCUUAGUGCUGCAGCUAACGCAUUAAGCACUCCGCCUGGGGAGUACGGUCGCAAGACUGAAAACUCAAAGGAAUUGAUGGGGGCCCGCACAAGCGGUGGAGCAUGUGGUUUAAUUUGAAGCAACGCGAAGAACCUUACCAGGUCUUGACAUCCCGCUGACCGCUAUGGAGACAUAGCCUUCCCUUCGGGGACAGCGGUGACAGGUGGUGCAUGGUUGUCGUCAGCUCGUGUCGUGAGAUGUUGGGUUAAGUCCCGCAACGAGCGCAACCCUUGUCCUUAGUUGCCAUCAUUCAGUUGGGCACUCUAAGGAGACUGCCGUACAAAUACGGAGGAAGGUGGGGAUGACGUCAAAUCAUCAUGCCCCUUAUGACCUGGGCUACACACGUGCUACAAUGGACGGUACAAACGGUCGCGAAGUCGCGAGACGGAGCCAAUCCGAAAAAACCGUUCUCAGUUCGGAUUGCAGGCUGCAACUCGCCUGCAUGAAGCCGGAAUCGCUAGUAAUCGCGGAUCAGCAUGCCGCGGUGAAUACGUUCCCGGGCCUUGUACACACCGCCCGUCACACCACGAGAGUCUGUAACACCCGAAGUCGGUGAGGUAACCCUUUCGGGAGCCAGCCGCCGAAGGUGGGACAGAUGAUUGGGGUGAAGUCGUAACAAGGUAGCCGUAUCG